UACAGAGGUCUCGAGCGUUAGGCGGAAUCACUGGGCUUAAAGCGUGUGUAGGUGGAUCGUUAAGUACCUUGUGAAAUCCCACGGCUUAGCCGUGGAACUGCUUGGUAUACUGGCGGUCUUGAGCCAGCUAGGGGCUACCGGAACAAAUGGUGGAGCGGUGAAAUGCGUAGAUAUCAUUUGGAACGCCAAAGGUGAGAACAGACGGCUGGGAGUGUGCUGACGCUGAGACACGAAAGCCAGGGGAGCGAACGGG
RNAcentral lists this ribosomal RNA (253 nucleotides) under uncultured bacterium. RNAcentral's name for it is "partial 16S ribosomal RNA". It matches the Rfam family "Bacterial small subunit ribosomal RNA", at positions 524 to 776 of the family's 1533-position model. The record is from RNAcentral.